ACGGUCAAGUAUUAAGGUCCCGCCUGCCCAGUGAAGCCUUUUUAACGGCCGCGGUAUCCUAACCGUGCAAAGGUAGCGUAAUCACUUGUCCCCUAAUUAGGGGCCCGUAUGAACGGCUAACUGAGGGUGAGACUGUCUCUUAUGGCCAAUCUAUGAAACUGAUCUCCUAGUACAAAAGCUAGGAUAAACCCACAAGACGAGAAGACCCUAUGGAGA
This 216-nucleotide ribosomal RNA is filed under the name Hemidactylus flaviviridis. RNAcentral describes it as "partial 16S ribosomal RNA". It matches the Rfam family "Archaeal large subunit ribosomal RNA", at positions 1927 to 2176 of the family's 2987-position model. The record is from RNAcentral. Lineage: Eukaryota; Metazoa; Chordata; Lepidosauria; Squamata; Gekkonidae.